GGUGAAUCCCCAUCUCUACUAAAAAAUACAGAAAUUAGCCAGGUGUGGUGGUGGGCACCUGUAAUCCCAGCUACUUGGGAGGCUGAGGCAGGAGAAUGGCUUGAACCUGGGAGGCGGAGGUUGCAGUGAGCCAAGAUCACUGCACUCCAGCCUGGAUGACAGAGUGAGACUCCAUCUCAAAAAAAAAAAUCCAGGUUCUUAUUAUGUUGCCCAGGCUGGAGUGCAGUGGCUAUUCACAGGCGUGAUCAUUGCACACUACAGUCUCAAACUCCUGGGUUUAAGCAAUCCUCCCACCUCAGCCUCCCAAGUAGCUGGGAGUAGAGGCAUACACCACCAUGCCUGGCUCUUUACUCUUAGCUGGGUUCACUUCAAGUGUUGCUUUAGUUCUGGGAAGUCCUCUUAAACUGUGCCCUUGCCAGCUAGACACUUUUAUUUUUUUUAUUUUUAAGAGAUAGAGUCUCGCUCUGUCUUCCAGCCUGGAAAGCGGUGGUUCAAUAACAGCUCACUGCAGCCUCCAACUCCUGGGCUCAAACGAUCCUCCUGCCUCGGUCUCUCAGGUAGCUGGGACCACAGGAACAUGCCAUCAUGUCCAGUUAAUUUAAAGUAAUUUUUUAGUAGAGACGGGGUCUCACUAUGGUCUCAAACUCCUGGGCUCAAGUGAUCCUCCCACCUUAGCCUCCCAAAGUGUUGAGACUAAAAGCAUGAGCCACUGCGCCCGACUGAAGAUGUUCUAAAGCACUUUGCAGGUUUCAGUGAAACAUGUUCCUUUUCUUCUGGGUUGAUCUAAUUCUCAGCUGAGUAGUGCCAUACCUACUUACUACUCAGGAGUCUUUCCUAGGGCGAUCUCAAGAGCAGGAGGGGAGGGGACCCUCCAGAACCCAGGGAGAGAAGGAAAUACACUCUGCUGUUUUUCUAGCUGACCAGCAGAUGGGGGCAGAAAUAAGAAGGUAGGUGGGGGCAGAAAUAAGGAGGUGGGUUGGGGACAGAAAUAAGGAGGUGGGUAGCCAGCCCUGACUUCGGGGCAUGGUCCAGCCGAGCCCCUAGGGAGAGAAGCACUUACCUAGGAAUCCUUCCUCAUCGACAAUGAUAGUGUAAUCCUCUGGUGUCUCAGUCAGACUGAAGAACUUGCACCUGGAUGGAUGGACAGACAGACACAGAAUAUCUCAUUAGUCCAGGCAGGUCCCCUGGGGCAGCUGCCCACCCGUGCCCCGGGGAUGAUGUCUCAGUUUACCCAGAGUUCCAGCCCCAGGCUGCUGGGUGACCGCGGGUAAGUUGUUUAUCUCUCCCUUCAUGUCCCCCUACUCAGUUCUCACUCAGGAGAGGCACAGAGAUGCUGAUUGUCCCCACUGUACCCCCGCAAUCUUUGGGGACCUCUGAGCCAGUCAGCCCCUAUGAUUGUGUCCAGGCCUGAGGGCCCGAGAUCCCAAGUUUUCUUGGAGGGAAGAAGUGGCCAAAGGGUGGCUCCAGUGUGGGUCAGGCAGAGGAGCCGUCUUUUCCAUGGCCCUGCCACUGUAACCUCUAGGUGUCUGUUCCCAUCUCCCCUCCCAUUGUCUUGGGCUCCUCCUCAGCAACUCUGGAGCUCCAAGUCACAAAAAUGCCUAAUUCCCACCAGCUGACUGACAGCCCAGCCCUUGGUUAACUUUCCAUCCCUAAAGAGAGAGGAAUGCGGCCAUCCGUGACAUUUUUGGGACAUGGAUCUCUGCCCCACCUCACAUCACCUCUGAUAGCACCGCUCAGCCGGGGAGCCAGAACCGCACCCCCACUGCACCCUAGAGAGUAUUGCAAGCAGAGAUGGCAAGUCCAAGCGUGCACAGGCAGAGGCUUGCAGGAAACUGACCCCUGGCCGCUUAUCUGGUGUUCCGGCUCUCAAGCACAAAGCCAGGCAUGGGCUCUGCAUCCCCACCCAUUGAGGGGAGCCAGGACAGAAAGAAGCCCACAAGUAACCCAGGUGUAUUUGUCUGUUCUCAUGCUGCUAAUAAACACAUACCCGAGACUGGGUAAUUUAUAAAGGGAAAAGGUUUAAUGGACUCAUAGUUCCACGUGGCUGGUUGGUGGUUGGCAGGGUUGCGGGGGCGGGGGUGCUCACAAUCAUGACAGAAGGCAAAGAAGGAGCCAAGGCACGUCUUACAUGGCAACAGGCAAGAGAGCAUGUGCAGGGGAACUACCUUUAUAAAACCAUCAGAUCUCCUGAGACUUAUUCACUGCCACGAGAACAGUAUGAGGGAGACCACCCCCAUGAUUCAAUUAUCUCCACCUGCCCCCACCCUUGACACGUGGGGAUUAUUACAAUUCAAGGUGAGAUUUGGGUGGGCACACAGCCAAACCAUAUCACCAGGCAAAGGGCAAGUAUCACUCUCUCAAAUAUGCAAAUGGAAAAGGGAUCUUUGAGUGGACAGUGUUGCAGGGGAUGGGGGUGGCUGGUGUAUCCAUGGGUCGCCCUCCUCCCUGGCCUCCUCUCCUGCCACCUGCCCUGCAGCCCCCUCAUCUACAGAACCUCUCCAGCUCCUUUUUAAAACUUAUUCCUGAAAAUUUUCACAAGGAUAUGGAGCCACUGGAACUCUCUUAUGCUGCUGGUGGGAGUACAAAAUGGCCCAGCCCUUCAAACAUUCAUUUGGCAGUUUCUUUCUUCUUUUUAGAGAUAGGGUCUUGCUCUGUCACCCAGUCUGGCGUGCAGUGAUGCAAUCACAGCUCAUGGAGGCCUUGAAUGCCUGGGCUCAAGCAAUUCCCCUGCCUCAGUCUCCUGAGUAGCUGGAACUACAGGCACACAAUACCAUGUCCAGCUAAAUUUUUUUUUUUUUUUUUGAGACAGAGUCUCUCACCCUGUCACCCAGGCUAGAGUGCAGUGGCAUCUCAGCUCACUGCAACCUCCACCUCCCAGGUUCAAGUGAUUCUCCUGCCUCAGCUUCCCCAGUAGCUGGGCUUACAGGCGCCCGCCACCACAUCUGGCUAAUUUUUGUAUUUUUAGUGAAGACAAGGUUUCUCCAUGUUGGCCAGGCUGGUCUCGAACUCCUGACUUCAGGUGAUCCACCCGUCUCAGCAUCCCAAAGUGCUGGGAUUAUAGGCGUGAGCCACCGUGCCCAGACAGUCCAGCUAGUUUUUAAAGUUGUUUUUGUAGAGAUGAGGUCUUGCUAUGUUGUCUAGGCUGGUCUUGAACUCUUGUCCUUAAGCGAUCCUCCCUCUUUGGCUUUCCAAAGUGCUGGGAUUACAGGCGUGAGCCACUGCACCCAGCUGGCAAUUUCUUAUAAAGUUCAGCACACAUUGACCACCCAGCCUCAGCUAUCCUGCUCCUGGGUAUUCAUCCACGAGAAGUGAAAACAGGUGCCCGCACAAAGACUUAGAUGCGAAUACAUAUUGCCUGUUUGUAUUUGCUCUAAAUUGGAAACAACCCAAAUGUCCUUCCUUCAACUGGAAAGAGGAUAAACUAAGGCACAUCCACAUGAGGAAAUACGGGUCAGCAAUUAAAAGGAAUAAACUACCGAUUCAUGCAUUAACACGGGUAGAUCUAAAGUGCAUUUUGCUAAGUUAAACAGCCAAGCUCAAAAGAUUCUAUACUGUAUGUUUCUAUUCAUACAACAUUCUGGAAGAGGCCAAACUAUAGGGACAAAUGAUUAGCAGUUAUCAGGGGACGGGUAGACACUGACUAGAGAGGGGCACUGGGAAAUUCUGGGGGGAUGGGCCUCUUGAGUGUGGCGGUGGUUACAAGAUCAUAUAAAUUCACAUAAAUUUAGGCCGGGCACGGUGACUCACGCCUGUAAUCCCAGCACUUUGAGAGGCAGAGGUGGGAGGAUCACCUGAGGUCAGGAGUUUGAGACCACUUGGCCAACAUGGUGAAACCCUGUCUCUACAAAAAAAUGCAAAAAUUAGCCAGGCGUGGCAGUGGGCACCUGUAAUCCCAACUACUGGGGAGGCAGAGGCAGAAGACUCGCUUGAACCCAGGAGGCGGAGGUUGCAAUUAGCCAAGAUCACGCCACUACACUCCAGCCUGGGUGAUUAGAUUCAGACUCCAUCUCAAAAAAACCUCACAAGAUCAUAUAAAUUUGUCAAAACCCAAAGAACUAUCUGCUAAAAAGGGGUGAAUUUGUGAAUUACGCUGUAUGUAAAUCAUACCUUGAUAAACUUGAAUGUAAAGAAAAUGCUUGGUCUGCUGCGGUGGCUCACGCCUGUAAUCCCAGCAUUUUGGGAGGCUGAGGUGGGCGGAUCACUCGAGGUCAAGAGUUUGAGACCAGCCUGGCCAACAUGGCAAAACCCCAUUUCUACUAAAAAUAUAAAAAUUAGCCCGGCGUGGUGGUGGGCGUCUGUAAUCCCAGCCACUUGGAAGGCUGAGGCAGGAGAAUUAUUUGAACCUGGGAGGUUGCUGUGAGCUGAGAUCGUGCCACUGCACUAGAGCCUAGGCAACAGAGCCACUCCAUCUCGGGGAAAAAAAAAAAAAAAAAUCCUGUGCUAGGGUCAUCCAUGAGGUGGCCUCUCUCCCCCUGGGAGGGGCGUAACGCAUUCUGCUGGAACAACCACCCACGCUCAUCAAUUUCCCUCCGGCUCUUCAGUUUUCUAAUUACGUCUCUGUCCCUGCCUGUCCCAUAUCCAAUUUGCAAGUAUUGCCUGGAUACGUGAAAUCUAUAAUUGCUUUGAGAACAACAGCAAAUUAUCACCACAGUAAGUGGCAAUCACUGGUCAGGCCUGGACCCUUCCUAGGGACCCCCAUGAACUCAGAAAGAGCCCUGGACUCCCACAGUCACCAGACUGCCAUGAGCUGGUACUCCCUGGGUGGGGUGGGGCUGCCCAGCUGCCCGAGAGCCCCGGGGAGGCAAACAGACGCGGCCCUUGCUCCCGGCGCCCUCGGCUCUGAGGGACACUCCAGAAAUAGACCGCACAAAUUAUUCCGGAAGGCAUAAACACCAGCAGAAGGCAACAGCGGCCUGUGUGUAAACGGAGUAUAAAUAUGUUGUUGAAGUGACCUGUCCCCAGGGGCUGAGCAAUUCUGUGGCUCUGCCAGCUAGGGGACAUCUCAGAAUGUGCACCUCGGCACGGGUGGGCUUCGGGGAGGGCAGAUCAGCCGGAGGCACCUGCUGCCGUCGCUCUGGUCACUACCCUCAGGAGUCGGCCCCCAGACUCCUCCCUCUCCUUGACCUCCUUGUUGUUGU
RNAcentral lists this long non-coding RNA (5138 nucleotides) under Homo sapiens (human). Its description in RNAcentral is "HSALNT0126351". Lineage: Eukaryota; Metazoa; Chordata; Mammalia; Primates; Hominidae. The record is from RNAcentral.